CGGGGAGUUUGUCAAGCAUGAAAAAUAUAAACAAAAUUAAUUUCGUAACUAUAAGUACUGUGUUUCAGCCAUGGAAGAUGCUAUCUACCUCAAAGAAAGAUAAGCCACUAUCAGUGAUAGAAAAUUAAAAACCAAACGUAAUAGUUGAAAAAAAGAUAGAUCGACACAAUACAUAAUAAUAUUAAAAGAAAUUUGUAAAAUGUUUCCCAUUUGGAUUAAAAAAUAGAGAUCUUAUAUCUAUCU
RNAcentral lists this long non-coding RNA (243 nucleotides) under Physcomitrium patens. RNAcentral describes it as "long non-coding RNA (PPAT_LNC002419)". Lineage: Eukaryota; Viridiplantae; Streptophyta; Bryopsida; Funariales; Funariaceae. The record is from RNAcentral.